Molecule: RNase P RNA, 343 nt
Filed under: Lachnospiraceae bacterium
Lineage: Bacteria; Bacillati; Bacillota; Clostridia; Lachnospirales; Lachnospiraceae
Description: RNase P RNA component class A
Rfam family: Bacterial RNase P class A
About the family: Ribonuclease P (RNase P) is a ubiquitous endoribonuclease, found in archaea, bacteria and eukarya as well as chloroplasts and mitochondria. Its best characterised activity is the generation of mature 5'-ends of tRNAs by cleaving the 5'-leader elements of precursor-tRNAs.
Source: RNAcentral
UGAGUAGGACAGACGAUCGCGGCUGUUAAGACGAAAGGUAACAGGUGAGGAAAGUCCGGGCUUCAUAGGGCAGGAUGCCGGAUAACGUCCGGUGGAGGUGACUCCAAGGAAAGUGCAACAGAAAUAAACCGCCACUUAUGUGGUAAGGGUGGAAAGGCAGUGUAAGAGACUACCGCCUGGCUGGUAACAGGCAGGGCACAUGUAAACCCCAUUCGAAGCAAGACCGAACAAAAGCAUAAGGUGGCCCGUCUGCUUUGGGUAGGUCGCUUGAUUUUACCGGUGACGGUAAAACUAGAUAGAUGAUCGUCAAAUACAUAACCCGGCUUACAGUUCUACUCAUUAU